CGGACCUGCCCAGUGACAUAAUGUUAAACGGCCGCGGUACCCUAACCGUGCAAAGGUAGCAUAAUCAUUUGCCUUUUAAUUGGAGGCUUGUAUGAAUGGUUUGACGAAAGCCAAGCUGUCUCUUUAAAAAUAUUUAAAAAUUAACGUUUAGGUGAAGAGGCCUGAAUUUGAUUAAGGGACAAGAAGACCCUAUUGAGCUUAAGUGAUUGUAUAAAUAAGUUUGUUUUGAUGAUUUUAAAUUUAUUUAAUGAGUUUUUUAUUUAAUCUUUAGUUGGGGCGACUGAGGAACAGAUAAAGCUUCCUCGGACUGUUGUUUAAAGUAAUUAGUAAUUGGUUUGGCUGAUGAGUUAAGUUGAUCCAGUAUAUUAUUGAUCAAGAGAAAAAGUUACCAUAGGGAUAACAGCGUAAUCUUUCUGGAGAGAUCUUAUCGAAAGGAAGGUUUGCGACCUCGAUGUUGGACUAAGAUACCCUGAGGGUGCAGAAGCUCUCGAUGGUUGGUCUGUUCGACCAUUAAAAUCUU
Molecule: ribosomal RNA, 520 nt
Filed under: Broderipia eximia
Lineage: Eukaryota; Metazoa; Mollusca; Gastropoda; Trochida; Trochidae
Description: Roya eximia partial 16S rRNA
Rfam family: Bacterial large subunit ribosomal RNA
Source: RNAcentral